ACGAAUGGACACCCACCUGGGAAUGCAGAUGUGCAUCAGGAAAGGCUGGCGCGUUCAGAAAAGGACACAGAAUCCCUUGUUCUUCAGGGGCUAAUCCAGGAGAUCAAUUAUUUGAGAUUAAAAGUCAGUGAAAUGGACAGUGAAAGAACUGACUUUGAAAAAAAAGCUUAAAUCAAUCAAAGAUGAACUGGCAUCUUCAAAAGAAUAACUAGAAGAAAAAGAAUCUGAAAUAAAAAGGCUACAAGAAAAAAUUUGUUUGCAAGAUGAAAAGAGAAAGGAUUGAAAUUCUCAAUGGAGCUGAAACAGAAAAGGAGACAGCAGAGCACCCAGAUCUGGCUGCAUCUUCUCAGCUGAAAGGCUCACAGUGGAACAGUACCUUUCUAGGAUCUCUGCCAUCUCUGGAUUCCAAAAAGAAAUCCAGAGGUAUCAUGAAACUCUUUGGAAAAUAUAGGAGAAGUCAGUUGUCGACAACAUUCAACCCAGAUGGCAUGUCUGAGUCUGAAUUCAAAAGAAGAGGGACAGGGGCAACUGCAGGGCCCCCAUUGGAUUGAUCUUGAGAUUUGGGACAGUCUAGCAGGUAAGAACAGCCAAACUAAUGGACUUUUGUAUCUGUACUAUUCAUCAAAGCCUUAUGAGUUCCUGCAGUGUUCGUACCUUCAUUAGGUUAAACAAAGUCAUUGCUUAUGCUGGGCCUACUGGGUGGGUCCGUCAUCUAUAGAGUGGUGCAAUUUGUCAGUGGUCGAUGAACAACUAUACAGAAGGUGAGGGCUAUGUGAACUAGUUGAGGAGCCAGAGCUAAAGUGUCAACAACAUCUAUAUUAGAACAGUUCCUGGACUUAAGUUUCACAUAAACAGUAAUAAGUAUUCUAUAGCAGAGCUUUAGAAAGAUGGGAUGGCGUGGUGGUUACUUGGAUUUGAUUUCUCGCCUUAUGGUUUUCUACCAGUUGGGUGACCCUGAGCAAUGACUUCUGUGCUCUGUGCCUUAGUUUUCUCAUCAUAGUAAUUAGUACCUACUCAAAAAGAGGAUUGUGAAGAUUAAAUGAGUUAGUAUAUGUUAAGUGUCUGGCAGACAAUAACUGCUCAAUAAGCAUUCAUAAUUAAUGGAGUCUAUGAAAGCACUUAAAGAAAUAAAUUCUACCAAAAUUCUUAGAUUUAUCAAGACUACACAAUGUUUUACCUAUUAAGACUCUAAGAAUGGUUGGACAUGGUGGUUUAUGCCUUUAAUCCAGCACUAUGGGAGGCAAAGGCAAGAGGAUCACUUGAGGCCAGGAGUUCAAGACCAGCCUGAGCAACAUAGCCAGACUCUGUCUCUACAAAAACUGGAAAAGUUAGGUUGUGGUGGUCCAUUCCUGUAGUUCCAGCUACUCAGGAGACUGAGGCAGGAGGAUCACUUGAGCCCAGGAGUUUGAGUCUGCUGCGAGCUAUGAACAUACCACUGUACUCCAGCCCUGGCAACAGAGCAAGACCCCCUCUCUAUUAAAAAAAAAAAAGACUCUAAGAACUUAGACACUCUUAUCAAAGUUUAGAGCUUGUUUAUAUAUACUACGCUGACUUACUAAGCUUAAAAGGGUGCGAUUGGCAACCAUAAAGCACAAAGUGUUGGUACCAAAUUCCUUAAAAGUAUAAUGGGCUAGAAAGAUUUUGAACACACUGUCUUCCACACAGGCAAAACCCUGGACACAGGUUUUAUUAAGGAGGUAACUCUCUUUGUCUCACUGGACACAUGUUCUCUUUGUACAUAGCAGAGGACAUCUGGUGCUAGUUUAAAAAAAAUGUUUUGUUCAUUUUCACAUCUUUUUCCCCAAACAGAAAUACUAUUUGUGUGUCUCAGUAAAAGAAAACAGGGAUUUUGCUUUGAUUACUCUUUCCUACAGUCAGUGCUAGCAUAUUGCCCUCUUCUCAUAAAUUACCAUCUGUAGAAAAACCGUAAUUCUGCUAAAGUUAAUUCCAAUUUGACUUGAGUUUCUUUUAGUCUGAGUUUCCUGUUUGGGAAUCCAAUCUUCAAAUAACUGGUUGAAACUGGUACAAUGAUUCCUGUUGGUUCAACUUGAUCUUUUUCUCCAGAACAUGGUCUUGCUAUAUCACAUUAAAUCUUUUGUGGUUUCAUUGAAAUAAAGACAGUGGUCUUAGAAGGUAACUUUCAACUCUGGUACCAAUUCCUCCUCCAGUACAUACAAAAAAAUUAAGCUUUUCACGGUCAAAUGUGUAUCAAUGGGAAAUUUCCAUAUCUAUUGAAUGUACAGUUAUUCAGAACUCUCGAUAAGCCAAAGGAUUGGCUUUGAAUUGUUUUUUAUGCAGUUAUUCGUUUCCCCAUAGUGACUUGGAUUUACCAUUUGCCAAGUGGACCAAGCAAGUGUGCAGUUGGCUUGUGAAACAGGGUUUGAGCUUUUACCUGUAUUCUGGUCAGCCCUGGAUAAUAUCUGGCCAAACACUUUUGUAAGCUUCUCAACCAGAGAAGGUGACUGCUUCUCUGUUUUGUUUACAAGAUGGAUAUUGAGGGGAAAAGAAUAUGAAUGUAGGAUUGUUUUAUACUCCAGAAAGGGACAUGGGUGAAGCCAGUAAGUACUUCUGAAAAAGUUUGGGUUUUUAACUGCUUCACACUUCUG
Long non-coding RNA from Microcebus murinus (gray mouse lemur), 2606 nucleotides. Lineage: Eukaryota; Metazoa; Chordata; Mammalia; Primates; Cheirogaleidae. The record is from Ensembl.